Molecule: long non-coding RNA, 2958 nt
Organism: Schistocerca nitens (vagrant locust)
Lineage: Eukaryota; Metazoa; Arthropoda; Insecta; Orthoptera; Acrididae
Exons: 6
Source: RefSeq, a predicted model, not a curated record
CAUUAACAAGUACAGUCGAUCCCUUGAGCCACCGCCUUACGUGUUAAUUUAGCUUGGACGCGUAGUACAAGGAAAGUUACUAAGGAAUUCGAGCGACUAUGGAAAUAACUGUCAGAGACCGGUAUUCUCCUCUGGCAGUUAUCGUUAUUGGCUCGUAGUUCUAGUUCUCUGGCAGUUAUCAGGCUACCACCACAGGUAACGUGGAAGCUGGUAACGGAAUAACUGUGUGUCUAGACGUUCCUGACUCGGUGACUCCAGUUAAAGGUCGUAGUUCCAGGUGUUAUUUCCAGAGAGGAUAGUAACUGGAGCGAACAAAUAUUUUCGUACUGCUACGGAAAUGACGGUGGGCCAUUGGGGAGAGGGGAUUGCAAAUAACGCGAAGAGGUCGAGGAUAAGCGAAAUGUGGUCAUAUUUCGAAACUCUUGAUCGAGAGUCUGCGAAAUGUACUUUGUGCGGUAAGAAAUUAUCGUACAAAUCGACGACGACGAAUUUAAAAAAACAUCUUCAGAAAUCACAUUUAAUUGUGAAUUUCUCUUCACAAAUACCUUCGGAGCUAGAUUUGGGUGAAACCCUUCCUGUAGAGGUGAUCCUUGGCACCAGUAGUGUGGAAGAGGAGCGAGAGGCACCCCAACACCAGCAGAUGAGUCUCCGUUUAAUACUUGGGAUAUUAUAACAGUAAGUUAUAGCUCCAGAAGUCAGUCACCAGCAGCAGAUGUCACACAGUUAUAAAAUGGGAAACUUGAAGAAUAAGCUCCAGAAGUCAGCAGCAGCAGCAGCUGCCGUCACACAGCCAUAAUGCGAGAAGCUUGAAGAAUAAUGUGUUAUGGCUCCGAUAGUCUUCCAGCAGCAGCAAAUGUUACACAGUCCUAUAGAGGCAAACUUGAAGUAUAAAGUAAUAGUGUUUUGCAUACAAUGGCAAACUUGACCUUUCGCUUAAAAUGGAGAACUUAAUUUCAGUAUCGGCUUUGAAAUUUGGUCACUGGAUACAGCUAUAUUAUCUUUCAUGUUGAUAGCAGCAAUCAUCAGAUUGCAAUCCAGUUAAGUACCUGUAUGGCAUGAGAUGUCAAAAGUACUUGUGGGUUAUUGGUAGCCUGUGUCAAGGCAUGUGGCACCUCAAAGUUUGUAAGUACAGUAGCAUUUUGUUUUCUGCUUUACUUAAAAAUUGGUAGCUGUAGCACCCAUUCUGACAUUCAAUUAUGUUGAAUUUCAAGUUUCUUAGAAUGAUACUGACAUCAGUUUGUUAACACUAAUCCGUAUAUUAUUGUUAAUAUAUGCUGCUAUUUUCCUCAGAUGUUAACUGAAAUUGUUUUAUUGUUAUGAUAACAACACUUCAGCCUUUGCAAACUUGCAGUAUAGGUUACCUGCUGAGAAAUAUUUACUGGAAGAAAUGGUUUCUUGAAUAGGACCGAAAGGAAAACCACUGAAAAUGCCAAAUGUGAAUUGGUGAAACGUCUUGUGCUCAAUACUAAAUUUCAUUUGCAAAACACGGAAGUUUUCCUAUCUUUGUGGUGGAACACAACAAAUUCUCAUAAUUUUGCUAGUUUGUAUUCUAGAAAGGGUGCCAGAAAUGGAAGAGUAUAAUUUUUAUUAAAUCGGGCAUUAAAUGUAAGUAGGUUGGAGUACAGAAAGGGUACAACUGGCCUUCCCCACUGUAGCCUGAUGUGCUCCAACAUGCAUUUGUACUGAUGUGCAGGUGGUUAUAACACUAGUAUCAAACUGCAUGGUACCCACUUACUAAUGUGACCUACCCUUGCAUGAUCGUCUGCAGACAGCAAGAAAUCCGCUACUGCUCUUACUACCUGUCCAACAGUUGUGGAGGAUUUUUUCCCCUUGGUGCUUGACAUGACAUGUUUUGCCCUCUGCCCUUAAAAUCUCAAUUCUUGUUACAUUUUUCAUCCAUUUUCUAUCUCCUGAUGGACCUGUAUUGAUUAAAAAACUAAUCACUGCAGAGGUGAUUGUAGAACUUUUGCUAGUGGCAGUGUGGAGGGGCUCCACUCUUUAAAAAAUAAAAUUACAUUGUGGGACAUGGAAUUAUUAUUAGAUGCUUUCAUGGACAUUUUGUUUACUGAAAAAGUCAGUCAUUAUCUGAGGUAUUUAAAUGUUAACUUCAAAUCUAAAACUGCAUCAAAAGAUAAAUUUCAGUAAGUCUUUAACAAGUUUCAGUAUCUUGCUUCACAUGUUGAACCCUCCAACUAUAAAAAACAGUGUUUUGUAGAGAACAGCUAUUCAGAUGUUAACAUCCCAGAAUUUAUGUAGAAGAUAUCCCUUACAUUGUUAGUUUCAUUGUGGUCACACUCUACAGUGUAGUGUUAUCAGCAUACAUAUAGAAGUUUGAAGAACAUAUUAAAUUAAUUGCUAGACAUGCCUUAAGUGAAUAUGUUUACUACUAAUAUGAGUCAGCUAAGUAGUUGCUGCAAGUUUUUAUGUUGUUUCUAAAGUGUCUUUAGACAAGGAUAUUUCUGCUGUUUGUUUCCUGUUCUUCUGUUUCAGAUAACUACUCAUAUAUGCAGCAACUGCUGAAGCAGCCUCUGGCAGUUUAUUGAAGUUCCGUGAACAAAGUGUUGUGUGGUCUGUUUGUGUAAAGUGAUAAAGAAAAAUGUUAAAGUGUAAUUGCAUAUGUAAUUGUAUAUAUAUUUAAUCAUUAUUUUUGCUAGUUGUAAGAUCUAUUUUCAUGUAAAUCAGAACAUUGUAUAAUAGGUAACAACCGAAUGAGGCAGUGUAGCUAUUAACAGCACUGACCUCAUAUUCGGGAGGAUGGGGUUCGCACUGUCUGGCCAUCCUGGAUCGCUAAGGCAAAUGCCGGGAUGGUUCCUUCAUCAAGGCCACGGCUGACCACCUGUCCCGCCCUUAAAGAGAUCCUUUAAACAUUGUGUGUAUACCCAUAUUUUGAAUUAUUGAUGUUUGUUGUAUUAUGUUGAGAUAUUCUUGGAUGAAAUAAAAAAAGUUUAUACAUUUGUA